Long non-coding RNA from Gordionus sp. m RMFG-2023, 984 nucleotides. RefSeq lists it as uncharacterized. The record is from RefSeq and is a predicted model, not a curated record. The transcript has 3 exons. NCBI's taxonomy places the organism in Eukaryota, Metazoa, Nematomorpha, Gordioida, Chordodea, Parachordodidae.
CGGUAUCCUGAGAAAAAAACCGGUAUAAAUUAUACGAAGGAUAGGCCUUCAUAUAAUUCACGUUCGCUCCUCUUGGGCAGGUCUAUGACCAACGUGCAAGAUAAGAUAAGAAGAUAAGAUAAGAUAUAAAUACAUUAAAUGAUACCUAUUUUCCCAAAAUUUACUCCUGAAUUUAUUUUUCCAUCUAUAGAAAGAAAUAAUUAUUUAAAAGAUGAUAAGGCAAUAAAUGUCGCAGCUAAUAAUUAUUUAGAAAAGAUUAAAAUGAUGGUGAAUCCUACAAUGAAAGAUUAUCAAAAUAAUUUACCAGAGAAACCAAAUCAUGUAAAUAUUGAAGAUUCCUUAUCUAAUGCUUCUGAUGAUAUUGAUAAUUUUACAAGCAAUCAAGCACAAAAUAAUUUCUCAGCCCAACUUAUUACCACAAAUGAGCAAAAUUCUGUUAAUAAUAAUUAACAAUAACGAAGAUGGGGAAUAAUGCAAAUUUUUUUACAAUAAAUCUUUAGAUAUAAAAUAUAUUAUAUUCUUAACAUUUUAUUAUUAGAUAUACCAACCCACUAUAUAUAUUUGUUUAAAUUAAAAUAUAGCUUUCUAUAUUAUUAGUUCACAAAUAAGCUAAGAGCAUCAUUUUUUAAAAACUAACCUACAAUUCAAGCUGCUAGCCAUCAGCAUGAAACUCCAUAAUUUUUUCCCCAAUAAACAGAGAACUAUCACAAAUAACCCACACUUAUUUUUUGAUAUUAUUAAUAAGUAAUUUAUUUAAUUUUUUUUAUUUUAGAAUUGAAUUUAAAAAUAACUAUCAAUAAAAAUAUCUUAUGUUGAUAAUGCUAAAGUGGGUUUGUAAAAUAAGAGUGUUUUUACAGGUAGCAUAAUCCACACUACUUAAUGCUGAUUAGAUAAUUUAUAUAAAAAGGCUAUGCAUUUAUUUUAUUUUAAAAAUAAUUCAAUGAAAUGUUCUAAUGAAUUUAGUUCUUUUAAUAGACAAUAUUG